GAAUGGGACAGACUCUCAACAGGAAGUCCCCAGUCUAGUCCCCCUCCGGCUCAGCUCAGCAGGGCCCCAACUGUGGUUAACAGGCCAGCGGACACUCCCCGGUAAGCCUAAGACAGAACCCCCAGGUGGGGAAAAAGGAACUGCCCACUACUCUCCCAAGACACCAGGUAGAACGCAGACCCAGGCCUGAGAUCCCGCGACCCCGCCGGUGAGGGCGGAGCCUGGUGAGCUGGGGGCGGGGCCGGUGCACAGCUCGCGGCCCCGCCCCCAACGGAAGUAGCACCGGGCCGGCCCCUCCCUCCGCGGGCUGGUUACCUUCCCGACGCCCUUCCCCCGGCCCUCUCUUCCCGGCGCAAUUCGGCUACUAGAGGGAGUUCAGCCAGGGUCCCAACGCCAGGUCAGAAGAGGAGGUCCUGGGUCUGCGUUUCUGGCUGUCUUGGACAGUGCUUUCUGUCCCUGCCACUCCCCUCCCUUCCAUUCCUCUGUUACCGGCGCGGCUGCAGGCGCCGAGGGGGACGGCACAGGCGGUUUAGGCUCGGAUCAGAGCCUCGGAGAGGGACGCAAAAUGCCCCUUGGUCUCCCAGCAGGGGGCGGGGGACUGUCCUCGGCCCCAAGCCGCGCAAACUUCCCGGAGCUGCGGUGCGGGGGUCCGGCGGCAGGAGGGGAGCCCCCAGUGAGCUCAGUUUCCGGAUACGGCUUCCCCGCGCCUCGUCGUCCGCACUUUAGGGAGAUGGCCCCCCUUCCAUCCGCAUUUCCCCGGUUCACCACCCCCACGCCCCGGGGGCUGCGCCUCCUCCCCUCCCCCAGCUCUCCCCGGCGCUUUAAAUAAUGAUAUUUGCAUGCAGGGAGCGAUUCAUAAAUAUGUCAGGGCCGGUGAAAUAUAGGCAACAUUUCAAACUUUCUAUUUAAAAAACAUGAAUUAUGGCCGCGGAAAAUGUGUUCCCAUUUAAAGGCGAUACGAAGUAUUUGGUGUCUCGUCCCCGGGCCCAUCCAUCACACAGACAAUAAAGAGAGUUUUUCGCCCUGACACUCACGAUUUAUGGGCGCCCUUCUCUGCCCUCAUCACUCACCCGCCGCGGCCGGCUCGGCGACAGGCCCCGCGGAGAGACCCGCGGCCGCCCCCGCCCUCGUGCGCUUCGCUUCGCACGCGCACUUUGCGCCCUCGCCAGCCCCCCAAGACCGCCGCUCCCAGGGGAAGCGCCGGCUCCGGGAGUUGGGAGGUCGGCGAUGACGGUUUCGGCAGCCAAGUGGGAGCGGGAACCACACUCGUCCUCUCACCUCCGCGCAAGCCUCACUCAGGGCUGGGGCUGAGAGCUCCGAGGAGCGGCCUUGCCGGCCCGCUCUGCGUCCUGUCCUCGCCCGCUGACCGCGGCGCCGCGCCGAGAAGUUUGCAGCGCAGGCAGCGAGAGCUUAUAUACUCGUGGGUUGGAGGUGAGGGGACAGGACUAGGCAGGGGGCUCCCCAGGCCAAUUUCUGGCUAUUCCUCCCCAGGGAAGGCGAGCUAGUCCCAAGCUUUCUUGAACCCCGCUGGGCGAACGCUGCGCAAAGCUCUUUCUACAACUUUUACAAAGCCUUCCUUUCUCUGGUGCGAUCCCCAUAAACACAUUCUGGGCGUCCGAGGCACCUUGGAAACUAUUUUUACGGACAGGAGCCGAGGAGUUGGCGAGAAAUAAAGAAGGGAAGGCGCCUUCCCUAGUGUUUCGCCUCGGGCCAGGCUCGGCCGCCGGGUGCUCUCUUCGCCCACCGCCCCACCUUGCGCGCGCACACACUAGCGCGCUGUCCUCCCAAAGCCGCCACCGAAUCUCUACUGCAAACUUGCGUCCAAGAAAGUUCGGGCUUCAUCUGCCGCGGAAUUUGCUUUCAGUUUUCGCCGCGGGCGGACUUGGCCCAGCGGUUGCCGACUACCGCCGGAGAUGGGAGCUGCCAGGCACUGCCGGGCCGCGAGCGGCCGUUCGGCCUAAAGGCGCUGCUGGGCUAGCCUCCCUCAGAGGCCGGACCUGCCGCGGCACGGAACAGGAGGAGCCACAACGCGUCCCGCGCUGGCCGAUGCGUCUGCGUACGCGCAAACCCGGAGCCGUUUCCUGCCGGACGCUUGAGAGCUGGAUUUAUUCGGAUACAGGCAGCUCAAACACCAGCCAGAGAAAUCCCGUCGAUUCUAAAAAUGACAAGGUUGAAUUUAUUAGAUCAAAAUUCAUGUGUAAGUGCAGGAAGAUGAAUAUUAUACAAACAGCUCCACGUCCAGGGUGAACGGAAGAUCGCUUCUGGUUUCAAGGGCAUGUAACAUAACGUCUUAAUGUUUA
This 2300-nucleotide long non-coding RNA is filed under the name Equus asinus (donkey). RNAcentral's name for it is "lncRNA (ENSEASG00005024383.1)". The record is from RNAcentral. Lineage: Eukaryota; Metazoa; Chordata; Mammalia; Perissodactyla; Equidae.